GACGAACGCUGGCGGCGUGCUUAACACAUGCAAGUCACGGGGGUCCCGCAAGGGAUAACCGGCGAACGGGUGCGUAACACGUGAACAACCUGCCCUCGUGUGGGGGAUAGCCAUGCUAACGCGUGGGUAAUACCGCAUACGGUCCUUUGGGGGAGUCCCUGGGGGAAGAAAGCUCCGGCGCACGGGGAGGGGUUCGCGGCCUAUCAGCUAGUUGGGGGGUAGUGCC
This 226-nucleotide ribosomal RNA is filed under the name uncultured bacterium. RNAcentral's name for it is "partial 16S ribosomal RNA". It matches the Rfam family "Bacterial small subunit ribosomal RNA", at positions 28 to 265 of the family's 1533-position model. The record is from RNAcentral.